UCCCUGAUAGCUCAGUGGGUAAAGAACCUGCCUGCAAUGCAGGAGAUCCUGGUUCGAUUCCUGGGUCGAGAA
Molecule: transfer RNA, 72 nt
Filed under: Ovis aries (sheep)
Lineage: Eukaryota; Metazoa; Chordata; Mammalia; Artiodactyla; Bovidae
Rfam family: tRNA
About the family: Transfer RNA (tRNA) molecules are approximately 80 nucleotides in length. Their secondary structure includes four short double-helical elements and three loops (D, anti-codon, and T loops). Further hydrogen bonds mediate the characteristic L-shaped molecular structure. tRNAs have two regions of fundamental functional importance: the anti-codon, which is responsible for specific mRNA codon recognition, and the 3' end, to which the tRNAs corresponding amino acid is attached (by aminoacyl-tRNA synthetases). tRNAs cope with the degeneracy of the genetic code in two manners: having more than one tRNA (with a specific anti-codon) for a particular amino acid; and 'wobble' base-pairing, i.e. permitting non-standard base-pairing at the 3rd anti-codon position.
Source: Rfam by way of RNAcentral